GAGUGGGGAAACAUGGGAUGUUUCGGGAACCCAAUAGUUGUAUCUGGUUCUAUCCUCUGUAAUAUUCUCUAUUGUAUAGUGGAAUUAUUCUCUCUCAUCCGUGGACGUAGGCAUGGUUGGCCGAACCACGUUAAAACCUCGUGUACCGUAUGUGUGAUUGUUUUAUCUUUGUGUUCUUGAACUAACAUCGUUGGCAUCAAAGCUUUCGCUGGCACUACAAUUGGUAUCAGAGCUUGGGUUGAAGAUUUCUGGAAGAGUAAAAGAUCACAAAGCACACAAGAUGAAAACAAAAGGAAUUUUCACUGAAGGUGGAGUCAAUUGCUCUUUCGUGGUGAUAUGAUACAAAAAGGUUUGUGUCAUGGAGAGAUUGAAGAUUAACUUCAUGUAAUUUGGUCCAAGGUGGAGAUUGUUGGAAAUUGUCCCAAAUUCCUAAUUAGUAAAUAUUCCUUUUUGUAAAGAAUAUUGUAUAGAAUAUUUCUAGGUUGAUAUAUUAUUGUAAUAUUAAACUUCCUUAUAGAAUAAGGAAGGUUGUUGGAAAUAUCUCUAUAAAUAUUCUAGGUCAUGAGGGGAAAAAGUUAUGAGAUGGAGAUGGGCCUAUAGAGACUAUACGAGGUGGAUAGAGAUGUGAGGAAGAACGGGAGGUACCUGGUGGAGCGAGAGGGCUCGUAGUAAGGUAUGGAUACAAGGAGUGGGGAAACAUGGGAUGUUUCGGGAACCCAAUAGUUGUAUCUGGUUCUAUCCUCUGUAAUAUUCUCUAUUGUAUAGUGGAAUUAUUCUCUCUCAUCCGUGGACGUA
Molecule: long non-coding RNA, 795 nt
Filed under: Vitis vinifera (wine grape)
Lineage: Eukaryota; Viridiplantae; Streptophyta; Magnoliopsida; Vitales; Vitaceae
Description: long non-coding RNA (VVIN_LNC001244)
Source: RNAcentral